CCUUGGCCUUAUGCCAUCUUUGCCUAGGAA
Molecule: non-coding RNA, 30 nt
Filed under: Homo sapiens (human)
Lineage: Eukaryota; Metazoa; Chordata; Mammalia; Primates; Hominidae
Source: RNAcentral